Molecule: ribosomal RNA, 497 nt
Filed under: uncultured bacterium
Lineage: Bacteria
Description: partial 16S ribosomal RNA
Rfam family: Bacterial small subunit ribosomal RNA
Source: RNAcentral
GAUGAACGCUGGCGGCGUGCCUAAUACAUGCCAGUCGAGCGAACAGACGAGGAGCUCGCUCCUCUGACGUUAGCGGCGGACGGGUGAGUAACACGUGGAUAACCUACCUAUAUGACUGAGAUAACUUCGGGAAACCGGAGCUACUACCGGAUAAUAUAUUGAACCGCAUGGUUCAAUAGUGAAAGAUGGUUUUGCUGUCAAUUAUAGAUGGAUCCGCUCCGCAUUAGCGAGUUGGUAAGGUAACGGCUUACCAAGGCGACGAUGCGUAGCCGACAUGAGAGGGUGAUCGGCCACACUGGAACGGAGCCACGGUCCAGACUCCUACGGGAGGCAGCAGUAGGGAAUCUUCCGCAAUGGGCGAAAGCCUGGCGGAGCAACGCCGAGUGAGUGAUAAAGGUCUUCGGAUCGUAAAACUCUGUUAUUGGGGAAAAACAAAUGUGUAAGGAACUAUACACGACUUGACGGUACCUAAUCAGAAAGCCACGGCUAACUACGUG